Molecule: transfer RNA, 74 nt
Filed under: Trichuris muris
Lineage: Eukaryota; Metazoa; Nematoda; Enoplea; Trichinellida; Trichuridae
Description: snRNA TMUE_0100000203
Rfam family: tRNA
About the family: Transfer RNA (tRNA) molecules are approximately 80 nucleotides in length.
Source: RNAcentral
GACUCUAUAGCUCAGCUGGUUAGAGCCCCGGUCUAGUAAAUUGGAAGUCGCGAGUUCGACUCUCGCUGAAGCCU